This 521-nucleotide ribosomal RNA is filed under the name Penicillium italicum. RNAcentral's name for it is "SSU rRNA". It matches the Rfam family "Eukaryotic small subunit ribosomal RNA", at positions 1230 to 1801 of the family's 1831-position model. Lineage: Eukaryota; Fungi; Ascomycota; Eurotiomycetes; Eurotiales; Aspergillaceae. The record is from RNAcentral.
GCUCAUACGAUGAAGAUUGAGAGCUCUUUCUUGAUCUUUUGGAUGGUGGUGCAUGGCCGUUCUUAGUUGGUGGAGUGAUUUGUCUGCUUAAUUGCGAUAACGAACGAGACCUCGGCCCUUAAAUAGCCCGGUCCGCAUUUGCGGGCCGCUGGCUUCUUAGGGGGACUAUCGGCUCAAGCCGAUGGAAGUGCGCGGCAAUAACAGGUCUGUGAUGCCCUUAGAUGUUCUGGGCCGCACGCGCGCUACACUGACAGGGCCAGCGAGUACAUCACCUUGGCCGAGAGGUCUGGGUAUCUUGUUAACCCUGUCGUGCUGGGGAAGAGCUUGCAUUAUUGCUCUUCACGAGGAUGCCUAGUAGGCACGAGUCAUCACUCGUGCCGAUUACUCCCUGCCCUUUGUACACACCGCCCGUCGCUACUACCGAUUGAUGGCUCAUGAGGCCUUGGGAUGGCUCAGAGGGUGGCACGACCCCCAGAGCGGAACUGUCAACUCGGUCUUUAAGGAAUAAAUCGAACAAGGUU